CUCCACCGCCACCAUCUUCAUCUCCUCCACCACCAUAUUAUUACAAGUCCACUCCCCCGCCAUCACCAUCACCUCCUCCACCAUACUAUUACAAAUCCCCGCCACCACCAUCUCCAUCACCUCCACCUCCCUAUUACUACAACUCUCCAUCACCACCAUCACCAUCACCCCCUCCGCCAUACUACUACAAAUCACCACCGCCCCCAU
This 207-nucleotide long non-coding RNA is filed under the name Nicotiana benthamiana. RNAcentral's name for it is "long non-coding RNA (NBEN_LNC000245)". Lineage: Eukaryota; Viridiplantae; Streptophyta; Magnoliopsida; Solanales; Solanaceae. The record is from RNAcentral.